Molecule: long non-coding RNA, 495 nt
Organism: Acromyrmex echinatior (Panamanian leafcutter ant)
Lineage: Eukaryota; Metazoa; Arthropoda; Insecta; Hymenoptera; Formicidae
Source: RefSeq, a predicted model, not a curated record
GGAGUAAUAAAUAAAAAUCGGUUGCGCGGUCAUGUGAACAUUCAUUUCUGGAAUAUCGUUGGUGCCACCAAAGUAGAUUUUGUGCUGAGAAUUCAGGUGACCAAAGUUGAUCAAGGAUGAAAUCAAUUAUCGCCCUGCUGGUCAUUGCCGUCGUAUUCUCGACGACGGUCGUGGCGCAGGAUGGAACGGUUCCACCGACUCCGACUCCAUCGCAAGAAUGUUUAGAAACACCAUUUUGUUUCUUGCCUAACAAACCCUGCUUCAACCAGGAACGUAUGUCAUGUGAACCAAGACCCUCAAAAUCCUAAACUCACGAGCCGGAAGGGAGCACUACAUCAUUUUCAAUUCUCUAUGGUGUAUUCUUACGUUUCUUGUAAUUAAUAACAAAUGUAGACAAUCGUUAAUAGACAAUCACUGUAUGCUUAAGCGAUCUUUAGACGAUCAAUAAUAUUGUACAAUGUUAAACACAAAAUAAUACAUACUGUACGCAAAUAA